This 465-nucleotide ribosomal RNA is filed under the name Vreelandella stevensii. RNAcentral's name for it is "partial 16S ribosomal RNA". It matches the Rfam family "Bacterial small subunit ribosomal RNA", at positions 338 to 795 of the family's 1533-position model. Lineage: Bacteria; Pseudomonadati; Pseudomonadota; Gammaproteobacteria; Oceanospirillales; Halomonadaceae. The record is from RNAcentral.
CCUACGUGUGGCAGCAGUGGGGAAUAUUGGACAAUGGGCGAAAGCCUGAUCCAGCCAUGCCGCGUGUGUGAAGAAGGCCUUCGGGUUGUAAAGCACUUUCAGUGGGGAAGAAAGCCUUGGGGCUAAUACCCUCGAGGAAGGACAUCACCCACAGAAGAAGCACCGGCUAACUCCGUGCCAGCAGCCGCGGUAAUACGGAGGGUGCGAGCGUUAAUCGGAAUUACUGGGCGUAAAGCGCGCGUAGGCGGUCUGAUAAGCCGGUUGUGAAAGCCCCGGGCUCAACCUGGGAACGGCAUCCGGAACUGUCAGGCUAGAGUACAGGAGAGGAAGGUAGAAUUCCCGGUGUAGCGGUGAAAUGCGUAGAGAUCGGGAGGAAUACCAGUGGCGAAGGCGGCCUUCUGGACUGACACUGACGCUGAGGUGCGAAAGCGUGGGUAGCAAACAGGAUUAGAUACCCUAGUAGUC